AGUGAACGCUGGCGGCAGGCCUAACACAUGCCAGUCGAACGGCAGCACAGUAAGAGCUUGCUCUUACGGGUGGCGAGUGGCGGACGGGUGAGGAAUACAUCGGAAUCUACUCUUUCGUGGGGGAUAACGUAGGGAAACUUACGCUAAUACCGCAUAUAACCUACGGGUGAAAGCAGUGGAUCUUCGGACCUUGCGCGAUUGAAUGAGCGGAUGCCGGAUUAGCUAGUUGGCUGGGUAAUGGCCCACCAAGGCGACGAUCCGUAGCCGGUCGGAGAGGAUGAUCGGCCACACUGGAACUGAGACACGGUCCAGACUCCUACGAGAGGCAGCAGUGGGGAAUAUUAGACAAUGGGCGCGAGCCUGAUCCAGCCAGACCGCGUGGGUGAAGAAGGCCUUCGGGUUGUAAAGCCCUUUUGUUGGGAAAGAAAAGCAGCAGCUUAAGACGCCGCUGUUCUGACGGUACCCAAUGAAUAAGCACCGGCUAACUACGUG
This 492-nucleotide ribosomal RNA is filed under the name uncultured bacterium. RNAcentral describes it as "partial 16S ribosomal RNA". It matches the Rfam family "Bacterial small subunit ribosomal RNA", at positions 29 to 507 of the family's 1533-position model. The record is from RNAcentral.